UAAAUAGAAGCUAAUAAAUAGCAAUUAACUGUUAAUUAAUUAUAAACUAAUAAAAGUCUAUUUAA
RNAcentral lists this transfer RNA (65 nucleotides) under Siboglinum fiordicum. RNAcentral's name for it is "tRNA-Asn". Lineage: Eukaryota; Metazoa; Annelida; Polychaeta; Sabellida; Siboglinidae. The record is from RNAcentral.